GACGAACGCUGGCGGCGUGCUUAACACAUGCAAGUCGAACGGAAAGGCCCUGCUUUUGUGGGGUGCUCGAGUGGCGAACGGGUGGGUAACACGUGAGUAACCUGCCCUUGACUUUGGGAUAACUUCAGGAAACUGGGGCUAAUACCGGAUAGGGGCUCCUGCUGCAUGGUGGGGGUUGGACAGUUUGGGCGGUUGGGGAUGGACGCGCGGCUUAUCAGCUUGUUGGUGGGGUAGUGGCUUACCAAGGCUUUGACGGGUAGCCGGCCUGAGAGGGUGACCGGCCACAUUGGGACUGAGAUACGGCCCAGACUCCUACGGGAGGCAGCAGUGGGGAAUAUUGCACAAUGGGCGGAAGCCUGAUGCAGCAACGCCGCGUGCGGGAUGACGGCCUUCGGGUUGUAAACCGCUUUCGCCUGUGACGAAGCGUGAGUGACGGUAAUGGGUAAAGAAGCACCGGCUAACUACGUGCCAGCCGCCGCCGUAA
Molecule: ribosomal RNA, 484 nt
Filed under: uncultured bacterium
Lineage: Bacteria
Description: partial 16S ribosomal RNA
Rfam family: Bacterial small subunit ribosomal RNA
Source: RNAcentral